RNAcentral lists this ribosomal RNA (888 nucleotides) under Sarocladium implicatum. RNAcentral's name for it is "eukaryotic LSU rRNA". It matches the Rfam family "Eukaryotic large subunit ribosomal RNA", at positions 1 to 911 of the family's 3401-position model. Lineage: Eukaryota; Fungi; Ascomycota; Sordariomycetes; Hypocreales; Sarocladiaceae. The record is from RNAcentral.
UUCAGGUUGACCUCGGAUCAGGUAGGAAUACCCGCUGAACUUAAGCAUAUCAAUAAGCGGAGGAAAAGAAACCAACAGGGAUUGCCUCAGUAACGGCGAGUGAAGCGGCAACAGCUCAAAUUUGAAAUCUGGCCGCAAGGUCCGAGUUGUAAUUUGUAGAGGAUGCUUUUGGCGAGGUGACUUCCGAGUUCCCUGGAACGGGACGCCAUAGAGGGUGAGAGCCCCGUACGGUCGUGCCACCGAGCCUCUGUAAAGCUCCUUCGACGAGUCGAGUAGUUUGGGAAUGCUGCUCUAAAUGGGAGGUGUACGUCUUCUAAAGCUAAAUACCGGCCAGAGACCGAUAGCGCACAAGUAGAGUGAUCGAAAGAUGAAAAGCACUUUGAAAAGAGGGUUAAAAAGUACGUGAAAUUGUUGAAAGGGAAGCAUUCAUGACCAGACUUGGGCUUGGUUGAACAUCCGGCGUUCUCGCCGGUGCACUCUGCCAGCUCAGGCCAGCAUCAGUUUGCCCCGGGGGACAAAGGCGGCGGGAAUGUGGCUCCCUACGGGGAGUGUUAUAGCCCGUCGUGUAAUGCCCUGGGGUGGACUGAGGUUCGCGCUUCGGCACGGAUGCUGGCGUAAUGGUCAUCAAUGACCCGUCUUGAAACACGGACCAAGGAGUCGUCUUCGUAUGCGAGUGUUCGGGUGUCAAACCCCUACGCGUAAUGAAAGUGAACGUAGGUGAGAGCUUCGGCGCAUCACCGACCGAUCCUGAUGUUCUCGGAUGGAUUUGAGUAAGAGCAUACGGGGCCGGACCCGAAAGAAGGUGAACUAUGCCUGUAUAGGGUGAAGCCAGAGGAAACUCUGGUGGAGGCUCGCAGCGGUUCUGACGUGCAAAUCGAUCGUCAAAUA